This 365-nucleotide long non-coding RNA is filed under the name Panax ginseng (ginseng). RNAcentral describes it as "long non-coding RNA (PGIN_LNC006945)". The record is from RNAcentral. Lineage: Eukaryota; Viridiplantae; Streptophyta; Magnoliopsida; Apiales; Araliaceae.
GAAAAACACGCGAACUCUCUUGUUAGGUUAAAAAAGUACUGACCCGGCCGGGUCAAACAAGAUAUCAGGGAUUCCUUACCAUUUUCCCCUAAAUUGCGACUCUCCUCUCUAUUCUACCAUCGUCGAGCGACUGGUCUCGAAGCUCUAAAGCUCGUCGGACGUCGUGGUCUCUCUCCGGCCAGUCUCUUCGUGGUCUCAGUUGAAAACAAACGGGUAAGGGUUUAGCUUUUUGUACUUUCUUCCUUGAAUCUUGCUGCUUUUGUAAGGGUAUGACUAUGGUAAAUUAUUGCAUGUUAGGUCUCUCUUCUACCAUCAUCAAGCGACGUUUCUCGAAGCUCGCCGGACGUCGUGGUCUCUCUCCGGCU